UGAAAAGCAGGAGUUGAUGGUUGCUCCCUCUGUGAGUGCCUGCUCUUUCGUGCAAACCUUGCCUACUGCUUCUGCUCUCUUGCUUUUUGAGAUACUUGCUUCACUUCUGCUCACCCAGGCACAUGGAAUGGAAAUGUGACUGGGGGAAGAAACUUAACAUAGGCUUCCAAAAUGGGACAGAAAAGAAAGGGACAGGAGUUUGUGAAGAUACUGAAGAUUUCUUUGGUAACCUGAAGACUCAUUCUAGGAAGUGCUUCUGGCACAGGAGGAUGUGCCAGCGCCUGGCAUCCCAGGGCUACAUGGCCAAGGUUAUGUUGCUCCAUCACCAUCUGAGGGAUAUGACUGAGAAGCUUGUCAAAAAUAGGUGAAGUUGCCAUUAGUCAAAGUCAUCGUUCAUUUGGGAAUGGAUCCUAUUGCUGGGCAAUGAUUCAACUGCUGCAGGAAAACUGCAGUCAGGCUCCUGCAACUCUUAAACCUCCUUGGUGCAGCCAGACUUCCGCCCAGCCACGCGGUGCUAUUAUUGAACGUCGCCCAAAAUGCUGCCUGAAAAGCUACUCCUGGAGGAUUUGUAUCCACACUCAGGACUGCACAGAUCCAUUUAGCAGGUGAACUUUGAAAAAUUGAAUUAAAGAAAUAAGAAGAUCUGUGUGGAUGAUGUAUAGAAUAAAUAUAGGCAAAAGUAAAAUUAAUACUAAAUGAAAAAACUUUUAGAACACUGUAGAAUUAUCAUAAGGUCUGUUAAAUAUGAAUCCUCUACCCAGGUCUUAAUUGUCAUUCCUCUUCUGCACAGAAACUACUCCAAUGAAGAAACUCUAAUCCUUUUGA
Long non-coding RNA from Pogoniulus pusillus (Red-fronted tinkerbird), 825 nucleotides. RefSeq lists it as uncharacterized. NCBI's taxonomy places the organism in Eukaryota, Metazoa, Chordata, Aves, Piciformes, Lybiidae. The transcript has 4 exons. The record is from RefSeq and is a predicted model, not a curated record.